AGAGUUUGAUCAUGGCUCAGAUUGAACGCUGGCGGCAGGCCUAACACAUGCAAGUCGAACGGUAACAGGAAACAGCUUGCUGUUUCGCUGACGAGUGGCGGACGGGUGAGUAAUGUCUGGGAAACUGCCUGAUGGAGGGGGAUAACUACUGGAAACGGUAGCUAAUACCGCAUAACGUCGCAAGACCAAAGAGGGGGACCCUCGGGCCUCUUGCCAUCGGAUGUGCCCAGAUGGGAUUAGCUUGUUGGUGGGGUAACGGCUCACCAAGGCGACGAUCCCUAGCUGGUCUGAGAGGAUGACCAGCCACACUGGAACUGAGACACGGUCCAGACUCCUACGGGAGGCAGCAGUGGGGAAUAUUGCACAAUGGGCGCAAGCCUGAUGCAGCCAUGCCGCGUGUAUGGAGAAGGCCUUCGGGUUGUAAAGUACUUUCAGCGGGGAGGAAGGGAGUAAAGUUAAUACCUUUGCUCAUUGACGUUACCCGCAGAAGAAGCACCGGCUAACUCCGUGCCAGCAGCCGCGGUAAUACGGAGGGUGCAAGCGUUAAUCGGAAUUACUGGGCGUAAAGCGCACGCAGGCGGUUUGUUAAGUCAGAUGUGAAAUCCCCGGGCUCAACCUGGGAACUGCAUCUGAUACUGGCAAGCUUGAGUCUCGUAGAGGGGGGUAGAAUUCCAGGUGUAGCGGUGAAAUGCGUAGAGAUCUGGAGGAAUACCGGUGGCGAAGGCGGCCCCCUGGACGAAGACUGACGCUCAGGUGCGAAAGCGUGGGGAGCAAACAGGAUUAGAUACCCUGGUAGUCCACGCCGUAAACGAUGUCGACUUGGAGGUUGUGCCCUUGAGGCGUGGCUUCCGGAGCUAACGCGUUAAGUCGACCGCCUGGGGAGUACGGCCGCAAGGUUAAAACUCAAAUGAAUUGACGGGGGCCCGCACAAGCGGUGGAGCAUGUGGUUUAAUUCGAUGCAACGCGAAGAACCUUACCUGGUCUUGACAUCCACGGAAGUUUUCAGAGAUGAGAAUGUGCCUUCGGGAACCGUGAGACAGGUGCUGCAUGGCUGUCGUCAGCUCGUGUUGUGAAAUGUUGGGUUAAGUCCCGCAACGAGCGCAACCCUUAUCCUUUGUUGCCAGCUCCGGCCGGGAACUCAAAGGAGACUGCCAGUGAUAAACUGGAGGAAGGUGGGGAUGACGUCAAGUCAUCAUGGCCCUUACGACCAGGGCUACACACGUGCUACAAUGGCGCAUACAAAGAGAAGCGACCUCGCGAGGGCCGGCGGACCUCAUAAAGUGCGUCGUAGUCCGGAUUGGAGUCUGCAACUCGACUCCAUGAAGUCGGAAUCGCUAGUAAUCGUGGAUCAGAAUGCCACGGUGAAUACGUUCCCGGGCCUUGUACACACCACCCGUCACACCAUGGGAGUGGGUUGCAAAAGAAGUAGGUA
This 1432-nucleotide ribosomal RNA is filed under the name metagenome. RNAcentral's name for it is "bacterial SSU rRNA". It matches the Rfam family "Bacterial small subunit ribosomal RNA". The record is from RNAcentral.